GUCCACGCCCUAACGAUGUCGACUAGUCGUUCGGAGCAGCAAUGCACUGAGUGACGUAGCUAACGCGUGAAGUCGACCGCCUGGGAGUACGGCCGCAAGGUUAAACUCAAAGGAAUUGACGGGACCCGCACAAGCGGUGGAUGAUGUGGAUUAAUUCGAUGCAACGCGAAAACCUUACCUACCCUUGACAUGUCUGGAACCCUGGUGAGAGCCGGGGUGCCUUCGGGAGCCAGAACACAGGUGCUGCAUGGCUGUCGU
This 258-nucleotide ribosomal RNA is filed under the name uncultured bacterium. RNAcentral's name for it is "partial 16S ribosomal RNA". It matches the Rfam family "Bacterial small subunit ribosomal RNA", at positions 793 to 1055 of the family's 1533-position model. The record is from RNAcentral.